GUCCUUCAUUGUUAGGUGUGGUGUGUUCUUGACUCCAGCUGAUGUGAACGUGGCUCUCCUCCUAACUUGGCUAGUAGCAUCACUCAUCCAUUCUAUUGUAAAAAUCCAACAUGGCUAAUUAUCUUUCUCAGAGAUUUCUAUAAAAUGAAAAUAAAUUAAAAAAAAUAUUGUAUAAGCUGGGUUGCCUCCCAACAAGCGCUAAGUUUAACAUUUUAAGUCAGACUUUUAUUAAGACUACUCC
Molecule: long non-coding RNA, 241 nt
Filed under: Elaeis guineensis (African oil palm)
Lineage: Eukaryota; Viridiplantae; Streptophyta; Magnoliopsida; Arecales; Arecaceae
Description: long non-coding RNA (EGUI_LNC026283)
Source: RNAcentral